RNAcentral lists this ribosomal RNA (703 nucleotides) under uncultured Staphylococcus sp. RNAcentral describes it as "bacterial SSU rRNA". It matches the Rfam family "Bacterial small subunit ribosomal RNA", at positions 8 to 694 of the family's 1533-position model. The record is from RNAcentral. Lineage: Bacteria; Bacillati; Bacillota; Bacilli; Caryophanales; Staphylococcaceae.
AGAGUUGAUCCUGGCUCAGGACGAACGCUGGCGGCAUGCCUAAUACAUGCAAGUCGAACGAACUUUCAGGGAGCUUGCUCCCUGAAAGUGAGUGGCGAACGGGUGAGUAACACGUGGGAAACCUGCCCAUAAGUGGGGGAUAACAUUCGGAAACGGAUGCUAAUACCGCAUAUGUCCUGUCUCCGCAUGGAGACGGGAUAAAAGACGGCUCUGCUGUCGCUUAUGGAUGGUCCCGCGGCGUAUUAGCUAGUUGGUGGGGUAAAGGCUCACCAAGGCGAUGAUACGUAGCCGACCUGAGAGGGUGAUCGGCCACACUGGGACUGAGACACGGCCCAGACUCCUACGGGAGGCAGCAGUAGGGAAUCUUCCGCAAUGGACGAAAGUCUGACGGAGCAAUGCCGCGUGAGUGAAGAAGGUUUUCGGAUCGUAAAGCUCUGUUAUCAGGGAAGAACAAGGACCGGAGUAACUGCCGGUCCCUUGACGGUACCUGACCAGAAAGCCACGGCUAACUACGUGCCAGCAGCCGCGGUAAUACGUAGGUGGCAAGCGUUGUCCGGAUUUAUUGGGCGUAAAGCGAGCGCAGGCGGUUCUUUAAGUCUGAUGUGAAAGCCCACGGCUUAACCGUGGAGGGUCAUUGGAAACUGGGGAACUUGAAUGCAGAAGAGGAAAGUGGAAUUCCAUGUGUAGCGGUGAAAUGCGUAGA